Molecule: ribosomal RNA, 434 nt
Filed under: uncultured Lachnospiraceae bacterium
Lineage: Bacteria; Bacillati; Bacillota; Clostridia; Lachnospirales; Lachnospiraceae
Description: partial 16S ribosomal RNA
Rfam family: Bacterial small subunit ribosomal RNA
Source: RNAcentral
ACGGGAGGCAGCAGUGGGGAACAUCGCACAAUGGGGGAAACCCUGAUGCAGCGACGUCGCGUGAGUGAAGAAGUUAUUCGUAAUGUAAAGCUCUAUCAGCAGGGAAGAAAAUGACGGUACCUGACUAAGAAGCCCCGGCUAACUACGUGCCAGCAGCCGCGGUAAUACGUAGGGGGCAAGCGUUAUCCGGAUUUACUGGGUGUAAAGGGAGCGUAGACGGUCUGGCAAGUCUGAUGUGAAAGGCAGGGGCUCAACUCCUGGACUGCAUUGGAAACUGUCAGUCUUGAGUGCCGGAGAGGUAAGCGGAAUUCCUAGUGUAGCGGUGAAAUGCGUAGAUAUUAGGAGGAACACCAGUGGCGAAGGCGGCUUACUGGACGGUAACUGACGUUGAGGCUCGAAAGCGUGGGGAGCGAACAGGAUUAGAUACCCUGGUA